UACGUAGGGAGCAAGCGUUGUUCGGAUUUACUGGGCGUAAAGGGCGCGUAGGCGGCAAUUCAAGUCAUCUGUGAAAUCUCCGGGCUUAACUCGGAACGGUCAGAUGAUACUGCUUUGCUAGAGUGCAGAAGGGGCAAUCGGAAUUCUCGGUAUAGCGGUGAAAUGCGUAGAUAUCGAGAGGAACACCAGAGGUGAAGACGGGUUGCUGGGCUGACACUGACGCUGAGGCGCGAAAGCCAGGGGAGCAAACGGG
Molecule: ribosomal RNA, 253 nt
Filed under: uncultured bacterium
Lineage: Bacteria
Description: partial 16S ribosomal RNA
Rfam family: Bacterial small subunit ribosomal RNA
Source: RNAcentral